This 253-nucleotide ribosomal RNA is filed under the name uncultured bacterium. Its description in RNAcentral is "partial 16S ribosomal RNA". It matches the Rfam family "Bacterial small subunit ribosomal RNA", at positions 524 to 776 of the family's 1533-position model. The record is from RNAcentral.
UACGUAGGGUGCAAGCGUUAAUCGGAAUUACUGGGCGUAAAGCGUGCGCAGGCGGUUUUGUAAGUCAGAUGUGAAAUCCCCGGGCUUAACCUGGGAACUGCGUUUGAAACUACAAGGCUAGAGUGUGGCAGAGGGGGGUGGAAUUCCACGUGUAGCAGUGAAAUGCGUAGAGAUGUGGAGGAACACCGAUGGCGAAGGCAGCCCCCUGGGAUAAGACUGACGCUCAUGUACGAAAGCGUGGGGAGCAAACAGG